AAGAAACGAGAGGCAUAACCAUCCUAGCUGGUGAGAUCAACUCCCUACCCAUCUAUCUAUUUGGUGCAUCAUAUCUGUUGUAUUAGGUAUUGUGCACAACUAGAACAUGUGUAACACAAUAAAUAAAGGAUAGACAUAUAGGAAACUUACCCUAAUCCCCGCUGAAAACUGAGCUUGCCACCCAUCAUAGUACUGGGAAUCACCAAAAUGAAACAAUAUGAAUAAUGAGGUAAUAACAUAAGUGGAGUAUCCUCAUCUGUUUAUGGAGAAGAUUGAAGGUAUCCAA
Long non-coding RNA from Telopea speciosissima, 286 nucleotides. RefSeq lists it as uncharacterized. NCBI's taxonomy places the organism in Eukaryota, Viridiplantae, Streptophyta, Magnoliopsida, Proteales, Proteaceae. The transcript has 3 exons. The record is from RefSeq and is a predicted model, not a curated record.